AGAACGAACGCUGGCGGCAUGCCUAACACAUGCAAGUCGAACGAGACCUUCGGGUCUAGUGGCGCACGGGUGCGUAACGCGUGGGAAUCUGCCCUUGGGUUCGGGAUAACAGUUGGAAACGACUGCUAAUACCGGAUGAUGACUUCGGUCCAAAGAUUUAUCGCCCAGGGAUGAGCCCGCGUAGGAUUAGCUUGUUGGUGAGGUAAAAGCUCACCAAGGCGACGAUCCUUAGCUGGUCUGAGAGGAUGAUCAGCCACACUGGGACUGAGACACGGCCCAGACUCCUACGGGAGGCAGCAGUGGGGAAUAUUGGACAAUGGGCGAAAGCCUGAUCCAGCAAUGCCGCGUGAGUGAUGGAGGCCUUAGGUUGUAAAGCUCUUUACCCGGGAUGAUAAUGACAGUACCGGAGAAUAAGCCCGGCUAGCUCCGCGCCAGCAGCCGC
Molecule: ribosomal RNA, 442 nt
Filed under: uncultured soil bacterium
Lineage: Bacteria
Description: bacterial SSU rRNA
Rfam family: Bacterial small subunit ribosomal RNA
Source: RNAcentral